UUUAGGGCAAAGCGGAUGUCUUCUCCUCCUCCAGGAAUGCGUCAGGCGUCGUCGUCCUCCGCUUCUCCUUCCGUUCCAAUGGCGCUGCCCAGUGCAGCUAGCAAUGCGUGCGAUAGCAGCGGCGCUGGCGCCGGUGGAAUCAGGUCGCAAAUUCAUGUCGACGGCAAUCUGGGAGCUCUGUGCGAGCACAUUCAAGCUCAGGGCUGGAAUUCCAGGGCAUUCUCAGAUAUUGUGGUUCAUGCCAUGGGAUCCACAUUCUAUCUCCAUCGCCUGCUGCUGUCGCGAAGCUCCUUCUUCAGAAAUAUGCUCCAGGGACCAUGGAAGGAAGCCAGUGCUACCGAAGUGAAGCUCCAAAUUGACGACGAGAACGUAAAUGCCGAGGCAGUGGCGACUGCUCUGAGUUAUUUAUAUGGCCAUCAGCCGAGACUAGACGAUGGAAAUGCCUUUCGCGUGCUUGCUGCCGCGUCGUUUCUAGACUUACAGGAUUUAUGCGCCUUUUGCACAGAUUUCAUUAUUUCCGAGCUCUGGACUGAGAACUUCUUGUCGUACCAGGCCUUCGCAGAGACGCAAGAUUAUGGUAUCCACGGAGAGCGCGUCCAGAAGGCGUGCUGGGGAUAUCUGUGCCGUGGUGCUGCAGUCGAACUUCGAGAGAUUCUUCCAAAACUUUCAGCUCAAACUCUACGUACGUUAUUAACGUCUGACGAGCUCUGGGUUCCUAGCGAAGAGAAAAGGUUCGAGCUAGCAUUGAGUGUGCUCAUUGCUAGAGGUGUUGUUACGGAGAUUGAUUCGUCCUCCAUUUCGGAUGAACUCUCGGAAACAGGUCUUGGAGACACGUCCUCGGACGUGUAUGUUAUGCCGUUGAGGACCGAAGAAACAGGUGGUUCAUACCAAGCCGAAGCUCAUCAAAACAACGAGGGCGACGUCGUCCAAGCCAUUCAAAGCAUCAUCUUGGAGAUGGUGGAUACAGCCACAACUGCCAAAGAACAGGUCACUCGUGGCUCGAGCUUGGGUUUGGAGGCAAAUAUUACAGGUAGAAUGGAGGCUGCUCGGGAAGAGUUUUGGAAAGGUGGUGGCGGCGAAUGUUCGUCCUCAACAAAAUCUUCUUCCCAUAACUGGGCUCGUCCGUCCCCAUCUUGGGGUGGACGAUUGGUUGGGCGAAAAUCAAUGAAGGCUUACCCAAACAGCGACUGGACCAACAACGACGAAUGGGAAACGUUCAUAAGCGUUUUUGAAAGUGGAGGGAUACACUAUUGUCACAUGCCUUUUGAGGACUUGCUAGACUCAAGAGCUCGUCUCGAAGAGCUGGGAUUUCCUUGCAAGUCCGUUGCCGACGGGCUUUGGUUACAGACACUUCUCAGGCAACAAGUCUUGUCCGUUGCCGCGGAUACGUGCAAACUCUGCAGCGUUUCUCUCGCUUUAUGCCAGUGCAGGCAGUCGUAUGUCUAUCCACCACACGGUCGAAUCUCGACGCCUAUUCCUUACCGGGAAGAGCAAGACAAAAGCCAAGUUUUAGGAAUUCAUCCGCUGCCCGAGAAUCAAAACUUGCCUGCUGCAUCGAACGGGCAAGCCAGAGUCCAUGUCAGAGGAGGCAUGGACGGCCUCGCUGGUAUCGGUCGCAAUGGUACUACAUGGCCGCCAGCUCGUAUAAUGUUUUCGAGAGUACCUUUCCCUGGUCCACACAGGGGGAACCAACAGCAGCAGCUCAUAGCAAACGAUCAAGCGGUUGACUACACGGCAAUGGAUUUGCCAACUUAUUCUGUGGAUGGCUUGAAUAUGGUGGUCGGACUGAGCCAGGGGAUGAGCAGCGUUCCAGUUCAGUCAGAUAACAAUGGCCGGCCAGAGGAUCAAACGCUUCAAAGAUCAGUGACCGGAGAAUCCGUCAAUUCUGAGAAGCUUGAUGUUCAACUGGCCUCAAGAGAGAUUGGCCAGGGGUCGUCAACAAUAUCCCUGGAUUUGCGAACGCCUUUGCGAAGUUUCCCUCCAUUUCGCUUCGGGGUAGAGUUUGAUGACGUGCAGAGACUAACAGAUGGACAGUCGAAGCACUCACCUGAAGUGUUUUAUGCGGGCUCGCUUUGGAAGGUGAGCGUUCAGGCUUUUAAUGAUGAAGACCCACGCUGCAGGCGAACACUCGGAUUGUUUCUACAUCGGCGGAAAGCGGAUGAUUCUGGACCUUUUAGAAAAGUUUCUCUUUACAUAGACACGAGAGAAAAGGUGACAGCACGGUAUCAGUUGAUAUGUCCUGCAAAGCGAGGUGUUAUGACUUUAGGCAGCCUAACCCAAGGAGGCACACUUCUCCCCAAAGCUCCCAAAGGCUGGGGUUGGCGAACGGCGUUCCUAUUCGAUGAACUUGUGGAUCUUCUUCAAGGAAACACGUUCCGAGUUUCAGCGGUGGUGCAAGUCGUGGCCAGCCAGUACGUCUGAGAAGAACUUUUAUAGGAAUGUGGGCUGUUCACUAUUUGACGGAGCAAAACCUGCAUCUAGGGCUCUAUGAGGUUGCUGGACGAUAGAAAUGGAGCCUCAUGAGAAUCCAAGAGCGACAGGGAAAUAGAGCAGGGAAGAGCAAUGCUGGGAUCCAGCUAGAAGUUUUCUACUUGGCUGGGAGGAAG
Molecule: RNA transcript, 2606 nt
Organism: Selaginella moellendorffii
Lineage: Eukaryota; Viridiplantae; Streptophyta; Lycopodiopsida; Selaginellales; Selaginellaceae
Exons: 14
Source: RefSeq, a predicted model, not a curated record